RNAcentral lists this ribosomal RNA (425 nucleotides) under uncultured Desulfovibrio sp. Its description in RNAcentral is "bacterial SSU rRNA". It matches the Rfam family "Bacterial small subunit ribosomal RNA", at positions 356 to 774 of the family's 1533-position model. Lineage: Bacteria; Pseudomonadati; Thermodesulfobacteriota; Desulfovibrionia; Desulfovibrionales; Desulfovibrionaceae. The record is from RNAcentral.
GGGGAAUAUUGCGCAAUGGGCGAAAGCCUGCCGCAGCGACGCCGCGUGUGGGAUGAAGGAUCUCGCAACGUAAACCUCUGUCAGAAGGGAAGAAACCGCCCCUUGCUAAUCAGCGGUGCAUUCACGGUACCUUCAAAGGAAGCACCGGCGCACACCGUGCCAGCAGCCGCGGUAAUACGGAGGGUGCAAGCGUUAAUCGGAAUUACUGGGCGUAAAGCGCAGUAGGCUGCUUUGUAAGUCAGGGGUGAAAUCCCACGGCUCAACCGUGGAACUGCCUUUGAUACUGCUUAGCUUGAAUCCGGGAGAGGGUGGCGGAAUUCCAGGUGUAGGAGUGAAAUCCGUAGAUAUCUGGAGGAACAUCAGUGGCGAAGGCGGCCACCUGGACCGGUAUUGACGCUGAGGUGCGAAAGCGUGGGGAGCAAACA